RNAcentral lists this ribosomal RNA (442 nucleotides) under uncultured bacterium. RNAcentral describes it as "partial 16S ribosomal RNA". It matches the Rfam family "Bacterial small subunit ribosomal RNA", at positions 338 to 795 of the family's 1533-position model. The record is from RNAcentral.
CCUACGGGAGGCAGCAGUAGGGAAUCUUUCACAAUGGGCGAAAGCCUGAUGGAGCAACGCCGCGUGCAGGAUGAAGGCCUUCGGGUUGUAAACUGCUUUUAUAAGCGAGAAAUAUGAUGGUAACUUAUGAAUAAGGAUCGGCUAACUACGUGCCAGCAGCCGCGGUCAUACGUAGGAUCCGAGCAUUAUCCGGAGUGACUGGGUUUAAAGAGUUGCGUUGGUGGCAUAAUAAGUAGCUAGUGAAAUCUGGUGGCUCAACCAUUCAGACUAUUAGCUAAACUGUUAAGCUCGAGACCGUUAGGGGGAACUGGAAUUGCUAGUGUAGGAGUGAAAUCCGUAGAUAUUAGAAGGAACACCAAUAGCGUAGGCAGGUUGCUGGGACGGUUCUGACACUAAGGCACGAAAGCGUAGGGAGCAAACGGGAUUAGAUACCCGAGUAGUC